UUUCUUCUCCUGCUGCCAUUUCUUCAUUUGUGUUUCUGAGUCCUGGUGGAACCAAUCCAGCUCAUUCUGGGACACCUGAAGGCAGAAAAGGAAACUUCAUUUCUGAGAACUGUGAAAAUUUAUUCAGUGUCCCAAGGUGCUUUUCCUGAAAUCCCUUUUCAGUGGAUUCACUCAGAAUUGGAGCCUCUUCCCCCUCCAGGCUGAUUCUGCAGGAACCAGCCAAGGAAAAAAAUCACGGUUUUCAACAAGGAACAAAAGCACACAGGGAUGAAACCACGCAGUGACAUCCCCCAGCAGUUUGGACAAUAAAAACAGAAGCUAAAUAAAAUUUGUCUGAAGUAAAA
Non-coding RNA from Taeniopygia guttata (zebra finch), 344 nucleotides. NCBI's taxonomy places the organism in Eukaryota, Metazoa, Chordata, Aves, Passeriformes, Estrildidae. The record is from RefSeq and is a predicted model, not a curated record.